RNAcentral lists this non-coding RNA (30 nucleotides) under Mus musculus (house mouse). The record is from RNAcentral. Lineage: Eukaryota; Metazoa; Chordata; Mammalia; Rodentia; Muridae.
UNCCCUGAGAAAGAUCUGGGCAGGUCCGUA